GGGGUUCUUCGAUAUGCUGAAUCUAACCAUGUAUUUAGAUUUAUGAUAUUUGGGCCUUGUUAUCAAAUUGGUCCGCAGUGAGGUCUAAAGGGUCCAAAAUUGAACUUUAUUUGAUUUCAUCAAAAAUUGAAUUCUUGGGGUUCUUUGACAUGCUGAAUCUAACCACGUAUUUAGAUUUUGGAUAUUGGAAUACCACAAAGGGAUGGUAAGAAGUGUCUUUGGGAGUUAUGGCUCAAACCGUUAAGGAAUAAGGUGCAAAAAAGGAUGGAAAAGGGUUUCCAGGUUAAUGGACAAUUACUUAAGUACAAAACAUAAUUUAAAAGCAGUGUAAGGUUGAAAAU
This 341-nucleotide long non-coding RNA is filed under the name Mytilus galloprovincialis (Mediterranean mussel). The record is from RNAcentral. Lineage: Eukaryota; Metazoa; Mollusca; Bivalvia; Mytilida; Mytilidae.